Molecule: ribosomal RNA, 377 nt
Filed under: uncultured eukaryote
Lineage: Eukaryota
Description: partial 18S ribosomal RNA
Rfam family: Eukaryotic small subunit ribosomal RNA
Source: RNAcentral
CAAUAGCGUAUAUUAAAGUUGUUGCAGUUAAAAAGCUCGUAGUUGGAUUUCGGGGCAGCCUGGCUGGUCCGCCGCAAGGCGAGUACUGGUCAGCCGCCCUUCCUCUCGAAAGCCCCGACUGCUCUUUAUUGCAGUGGUCGGGUAGUUCGGGACGUUUACUUUGAAAAAAUUAGAGUGUUCAAGGCAGGCCUACGCCUGAAUACAUUAGCAUGGAAUAAUGGAAGAGGACCUCGGUCCUAUUUUGUUGGUUUCCAGGACCGAAGUAAUGAUUAAGAGGGACAGUUGGGGGCAUUCGUAUUUAAUUGUCAGAGGUGAAAUUCUCGGAUUUAUGAAAGACGAACAACUGCGAAAGCAUUUGCCAAGGAUGUUUUCACUAA